CACAUUCACCACCGCCACCACAUUCCCCGCCGCCUCCGGUUUAUCCCUAUCUGUCACCGCCCCCACCUCCUCCUGUUCACUCUCCACCUCCACCGGUCCAUUCACCACCACCACCGUCUCCUCCACCUUGUAUAGAACCGCCACCACCACCUCCCCCCUGUAUAGAACCGCCUCCGCCUCCACCAUCACCACCACCUUGUGAAGAGCAUUCGCCACCACCACCAUCACCACAUCCUGCACCUUACCUGCCACCGCCAUCGCCAUCACCACCACCUCCUCCAGUUCAAUACAGUUCUCCUCCACCACCAUCGUCGCCACCUGUUUAUUAUUACAACUCACCGCCGCCGCCACCUCCUUCGUCUCCACCACCAGCCCCUGUAUAUGAAGGGCCUUUGCCACCCGUCAUAGGAGUCUCAUAUGCAUCUCCUCCUCCACCUCCCUUUUAUUGAUUCUUUUGAGAACUUUUCUCCUCUAACCCUUUGCCCUCUACCCUAGCAAUGAAAAAAAAACAUUCAAGUUCAGUUCAUACUUUUGUUAUUAUUGGUGGCUAUUUCUGCUGUGCCCUCCUCUUCCUUUGCCAGCCAUGUCAAGUAAGUACGCGACUCUCGUCGCGAAAAAUAAAACCUGAGAGAACCAGAAGGGUUUGUGUAAGGCUGCAUGUGAUGUUUGUUCUAGUAUAGGAAAACAGAGAGGAGAUCACAGUGGAUUGCGGUAGGAGGAGAAAGUCUCUCCAUAUUGAUUUGAAUUGUUAUGGAUAUUCGAGUUGUGAAAUAAAAAUGGCAGAGAAAGAGUAGGUUGCAGAGAAAAUGUGUAUGUAUAGGGAUGAAUUUGGAGACCAUAAUUCAGGGUUGCAUUGCAUAGAGAGUAGCAGCACUUUCUGCUACUGCUGCUGCUUCUGCAGGUUUGUGGAGUUUAUUGUUAUUGUCUCUCUUAUAUCAUACUUUUUUUUUUAUUUAAUUUUUUGUUUCUUUUGUUUUGCAAUUGAUAGUAUAAUUUAAGAACAUUUACAUGUAUUGAUUUUCUGAAUUGAGGUAAUUCCUUUCUCGUACCGGUGUCUCG
Molecule: long non-coding RNA, 1059 nt
Filed under: Vigna radiata
Lineage: Eukaryota; Viridiplantae; Streptophyta; Magnoliopsida; Fabales; Fabaceae
Description: long non-coding RNA (VRAD_LNC000181)
Source: RNAcentral